AAGGAGUCUAACAUGCUUGCGAGUAUUUGGGUGUCAAACCCGGAUGCGUAAUGAAAGUGAAUGGAGGUGGGAAGCGCAAGCCGCACCAUCGACCGAUCUGGAUUUUCUAAGAUGGAUUUGAGUAAGAGCACGUAUGUUGGGACCCGAAAGAUGGUGAACUAUGCCUGAAUAGGGCGAAGCCAGAGGAAACUCUGGUGGAGGCUCGUAGCGGUUCUGACGUGCAAAUCGAUCGUCAAAUUUGGGUAUAGGGGCGAAAGACUAAUCGAACCAUCUAGUAGCUGGUUCCUGC
This 289-nucleotide unclassified non-coding RNA is filed under the name uncultured fungus. Its description in RNAcentral is "partial contains 5.8S rRNA, ITS2 and 28S rRNA". It matches the Rfam family "Eukaryotic large subunit ribosomal RNA", at positions 668 to 961 of the family's 3401-position model. Lineage: Eukaryota; Fungi. The record is from RNAcentral.